Molecule: ribosomal RNA, 465 nt
Filed under: uncultured bacterium
Lineage: Bacteria
Description: partial 16S ribosomal RNA
Rfam family: Bacterial small subunit ribosomal RNA
Source: RNAcentral
CCUACGGGAGGCAGCAGUGGGGAAUAUUGCGCAAUGGGCGAAAGCCUGACGCAGCGACGCCGCGUGAGGGAUGAAGGUCUUCGGAUUGUAAACCUCUGUCAGCAGGGAAGAACGGUCACUGUGCUAAUCAGCAGUGAAUUGACGGUACCUGCAAAGGAAGCACCGGCUAAAUCCGUGCCAGAAGCUGCGGUAAUACGGAGGGUGCGUGCGUUAAUCGGAAUUACUGGGCGUAAAGCGCGCGUAGGCGGUAUGUCAAGUCAAGGGUGAAAUCUCCGCGCACAAAGCGGGAACGGCCUUUGAAACUGGCAAACUGGAGUGUGUGAGAGGAAAGUGGAAUUCCAGGUGUAGGAGUGAAAUCCGUAGAUAUCUGGAGGAACAUCAGUGGCGAAGGCGACUAUCUGGCACAUAACUGACGCUGAGGAGCGAAAGCGUGGGUAGCAAACAGGAUUAGAUACCCUAGUAGUC